GUAGGUGGCAAGCGUUGUCCGGAAUUAUUGGGCGUAAAGCGCGCGCAGGCGGUUCUUUAAGUCUGAUGUGAAAGCCCACGGCUCAACCGUGGAGGGUCAUUGGAAACUGGAGAACUUGAGUACAGAAGAGGAAAGCGGAAUUCCACGUGUAGCGGUGAAAUGCGUAGAGAUGUGGAGGAACACCAGUGGCGAAGGCGGCUUUUCUGGUCUGUAACUGACGCCGAGGCGCGAAAGCGUGGGGAGCAAACAGGGAUUAGAUACCCUGGUAGUCCACGCCGUAAACGAUGAGUGCUAAGUGCUAGGGGGGUUUCCGCCCCCUUAGUGCUGCAGCUAACGCAUUAAGCACUCCGCCUGGGGAUACGGCCGCAAGGCUG
This 374-nucleotide ribosomal RNA is filed under the name uncultured organism. Its description in RNAcentral is "partial 16S ribosomal RNA". It matches the Rfam family "Bacterial small subunit ribosomal RNA", at positions 527 to 896 of the family's 1533-position model. The record is from RNAcentral.